GAGAGUUUGAUCCUGGCUCAGGACGAACGCUGGCGGCGUGCCUAACACAUGCAAGUCGAGCGGAUAACGGAGGUUGGUCAUCGGAGGUCAGAAGUCAGACUAAAGAAGCAAUUGGCCGAAGGCCAAUUGCGAUAAAGAUCUGACAUCCGAUUUCCGACGACUGACUUCCGUUAUCAGCGGCGGACGGGUGAGUAACGCGUGGAUAACCUGCCCAUUAGACCGGGAUAACGCCGGGAAACUGGUGCUAAUACCGGAUACGCUCCACUGGCCGCAUGGUCGGGGGAGGAAAGGGGUAACCCGCUAAUGGAUGGGUCCGCGUCCCAUUAGCUAGAUGGUGGGGUAACGGCCCACCAUGGCGACGAUGGGUAGCCGGCCUGAGAGGGUGACCGGCCACACUGGGACUGAGACACGGCCCAGACUCCUACGGGAGGCAGCAGUGGGGAAUCUUCCGCAAUGGGCGAAAGCCUGACGGAGCGACGCCGCGUGAGCGAAGAAGGCCUUCGGGUCGUAAAGCUCUGUUGUUGGGGACGAAGGAAGUGACGGUACCCAACGAGGAAGCCCCGGCUAACUACGUGCCAGCAGCCGCGGUAAGACGUAGGGGGCGAGCGUUGUCCGGAAUUACUGGGCGUAAAGGGCGCGCAGGCGGCUCAAGAAGUCAGGGGUGAAAUACCGCAGCUCAACUGCG
This 685-nucleotide ribosomal RNA is filed under the name Desulfotomaculum sp. RNAcentral's name for it is "bacterial SSU rRNA". It matches the Rfam family "Bacterial small subunit ribosomal RNA", at positions 8 to 617 of the family's 1533-position model. Lineage: Bacteria; Bacillati; Bacillota; Clostridia; Eubacteriales; Desulfotomaculaceae. The record is from RNAcentral.